Molecule: RNA transcript, 945 nt
Organism: Pistacia vera
Lineage: Eukaryota; Viridiplantae; Streptophyta; Magnoliopsida; Sapindales; Anacardiaceae
Gene name: 60S ribosomal protein L30-like
Exons: 4
Source: RefSeq, a predicted model, not a curated record
CAUUUUUCAAAAUUUUCCCUUUCUUAUUUUUUCAUCUUCUUUAUUGUUUCACUUCAGCAGCCGGACAUCUCUAACAUGCUAGGGCUACUUAAAAUCACUCUCUAAUUAACCGUAACAAUGGUGUUCAAGAACAAACUCUUCUUCUCUCCCAAGAAAUCCUCCGCCUUCGGUGGAUCUGACUCUCCUCGAUCCUUCGGAUCCAACUCCCCAAUCCGAUCAAUUCUCGAAAACAAUUGGGAGAAUUGCAAAAAUAGCUCGGAGAGAAACAGAUGUUUGAAGAUUCCGUCUCCAAGAUCAAUUAUCUUCUUCACGAUCAAUUUCCCUCUGCUUCUCCACCUCUUCGCAAUCUGAUUUUGGAGUUAGGGAAAUUAUAGGGAAAUUCAUUGAGACAGCUCUUCGCUUUUCUUCGAAGCUAUUUUGUGAGAACCCUAGUGUCUUAAAACAAUGAAGAAGUCCCAUGAGAGCAUCAACAGUAGGCUUGCUUGUUUCAUGAAGAGUGGCAAGUACACUUUGGGUAACAAAAUUGUGCUUCACACCCUUAGAAGCUCCAAAGCAAAGCUGGUUACCAUUACCAACAAUCGCCCUCCUUGAGGCUGUCUGAGAUAGAGUACAAUGUGAUGUUGGCUAAAGUUGAGGUUCAACACUACAAUAGGAGUAAGUUUCUUAAUCUUCUUAUUGCCUUCUACUCAUAUGCAAAGUAUAUUUGUUCUUUGGCUUCCCUUUUACUUUCCUGUUAUUUAUGGUUGUUUAGGUUUUAAAUUCGACAUAUAAAGUCAUGCAUAAUACUAGUAAACUUUGAUUAGAGGGUUGUUCGUUUUCUAAUUAUGUCCAAUUCCUGUUGGCAGCGUGAAAGAAGGAUUAGAUUUUAUUAAAGAGGCUAUCAUUAGAACAGGGUAUGGUGAGAAGAUAAAGAUAGCUAUCGAUGUUGUUGGUACUGAUUUUUGC